Molecule: long non-coding RNA, 252 nt
Organism: Lagopus leucura (white-tailed ptarmigan)
Lineage: Eukaryota; Metazoa; Chordata; Aves; Galliformes; Phasianidae
Exons: 3
Source: RefSeq, a predicted model, not a curated record
GUAGGUAUUUUCAGCUGGGAGUUGCUGCCUUGGAUUACCUUCAUCCUGCACGCAGGGACAGCACGGAGAAGAGUUGGGGACUGCAGGCUCUACAGCAGGGCUGGAGGAAUCAUGCUGGGGAGCCACAGCCAGGACUGCCUGAGCUGCUGAGGGAAAGCUGCUUCCAGAGCGGGGCACAGCAGGGACCAAAGGAUGCCAUUCACUGGCUGCGAACUGGGGAUGGAUCUGACUUAGAAGUCCCUGCAGGAAGCA